This 253-nucleotide ribosomal RNA is filed under the name uncultured bacterium. RNAcentral's name for it is "partial 16S ribosomal RNA". It matches the Rfam family "Bacterial small subunit ribosomal RNA", at positions 524 to 776 of the family's 1533-position model. The record is from RNAcentral.
GACGAACCGUGCAAACGUUGUUCGGAAUCACUGGGCUUAAAGGGCGCGUAGGCGGCUUGCCAAGUCAGGGGUGAAAUCUUUCGGCUCAACCGGAAAAGUGCCUUUGAUACUGGCAGGCUGGAGGGAGGUAGGGGCAUGUGGAACUUCCGGUGGAGCGGUGAAAUGCGUAGAUAUUCGCAAGAACACCAGUGGCGAAGGCGGCUCACUGGCCCGGUACUGACGCUGAGGUGCGAAAGCGUGGGGAGCAAACAGG